Molecule: small RNA, 105 nt
Filed under: Billgrantia gudaonensis
Lineage: Bacteria; Pseudomonadati; Pseudomonadota; Gammaproteobacteria; Oceanospirillales; Halomonadaceae
Description: Halomonas gudaonensis t44 RNA
Rfam family: t44 RNA
About the family: This family consists of a number of bacterial RNA genes of between 135 and 170 bases in length. The t44 gene is found between the map and rpsB genes in all species in the full alignment apart from Shigella flexneri.
Source: RNAcentral
GUGAACCUCAAGCCUUGAAAACACACAUGCACCGGCACAUGGUCCCGGGUGCUGCCGCGGUUUCCCCCCGGCAGUCGGAUCCAUGGGGUGCAUGGAGGCCUAACC